GAGACUCUGUGCGCGUGCAUAUCAAUAAGCGGAGGAAAAGAAACUAACAAGGAUUCCCUUAGUAACGGCGAGUGAAGCGGGAAGAGCUCAAAUCUGAAAUCUUCAAGGUUCUACCUUGACGAAUUGUAGUUUAAAGAAGUGUUUUCUGUUAGUGGAGUGGCAAAAGUUCUCUGGAAUAGGACAUCAUAGAGGGUGAGAAUCCCGUAUUUGGUCAUUCCUUCUAGCUUUGUGAUACACUUUCAAAGAGUCGGAUUGUCUGGGAAUGCAGUCCAAAAUGGGUGGUAAAUUUCAUCUAAAGCUAAAUAUUGGCGAGAGACCGAUAGCGAACAAGUACCGUGAGGGAAAGAUGAAAAGAACUUUGAAAAGAGAGUUAAACAGUACGUGAAAUUGUCAAAAGGGAAGCGUUUGACACCAGUGUUGUUUUUCCGAAAAUCAAUUAUAAAUGUUUUGUUUCUGAGGAGUGAUGACUUCAUCGGCUUCCUUCUCUCUUCACGAAACUUUUGUAAUGCACUUUUCGGUUAACAAGUCAACAUCAAUUUCUUUUGUUGUAAAAGAGUAUACGGAAGGUGGCUUUCUUUUCGGAGAAAGUGUUUAUAGCCCUAUACUUCUACAAUCGGAGAGAUUGAGGUCUGCAGCGUAGAUCCUUCGGGGUUAGAUACAUUUGUGCUAAGUUAUAGCUUUUCAUAGACAACUUGUUGACUAUGUUUAGUCAUGUCGCUUACUCGCUUAUGCUAUUUUACCUACGCUUAGGAUGUUGACUGAUAUGUAGUCGUA
RNAcentral lists this ribosomal RNA (774 nucleotides) under uncultured Neocallimastigales. RNAcentral's name for it is "partial large subunit ribosomal RNA". It matches the Rfam family "Eukaryotic large subunit ribosomal RNA", at positions 23 to 644 of the family's 3401-position model. Lineage: Eukaryota; Fungi; Neocallimastigomycota; Neocallimastigomycetes; Neocallimastigales. The record is from RNAcentral.